This 279-nucleotide ribosomal RNA is filed under the name Triticum aestivum (bread wheat). Its description in RNAcentral is "partial small subunit ribosomal RNA". Lineage: Eukaryota; Viridiplantae; Streptophyta; Magnoliopsida; Poales; Poaceae. The record is from RNAcentral.
AUGCAGAAGCACUGCUCCUUUGGGUUCUUCACGUUCCUGGAGCACGAGGACACCGCCACCUCCAUGGACAACAUGGACGACGCCGAGUUCUUCGGCCGCGUCCUCACCAUGAACUACGCCUUCCCCGAGAAAAUCAAGGGAGGGGAGCAGGGAUGGACCGCGCAGCCAGACAACAAGGUCACUUUGGUGCAAGCUAACCGUUUACAUGAUGCUUCGGCGAUGUGGAUUCCAGCUUACUUUGAUGUUUACAUGAGACUAUUUCCAGAUUACCUGAUCUAA